Long non-coding RNA from Sceloporus undulatus (fence lizard), 271 nucleotides. RefSeq lists it as uncharacterized. The transcript is spliced from 2 exons. The record is from RefSeq and is a predicted model, not a curated record. Lineage: Eukaryota; Metazoa; Chordata; Lepidosauria; Squamata; Phrynosomatidae.
CAGAAAGCAAUAGGAAAAUAAUAGCCUUUGGUGACCCAUCUAAAACAGUUGCUUAUACAUGUGUGAGUUAAGCAUGGACCAAUCACUAAUGGGAUGCCAGCCAUUCUGCAGGAAAGAGCGCUGUAAUUAUCUGAGCAUUUGAACAAACCCAGAGAGAAACAAGGCUCCACUGGUUCAUACAGAUGAAAUGCAUGGGACCCAUCAGAUUAAUGAAAAUGUUUGUUUUUCAUAUUGCCAUAAUAGUUCAAAUAAAGCUGCAUUAGCAACGGUA